UCUUCUUUGGCUAAGGCUCUGAGGGAAAUGUGAGUUAUUAGACUUGUAACAUUAGUCUUAGGAACCCAUUGCUUCUUGUUGAUAGGCCUGUGUUGUUUGGGUCUGGGUUGAUAUUGAGUUUGAUGAUGAACAGGGCUAGGAUAUCCAUACAACUUAUAGCAAAAGGGCUUCAGGUGACCAAAUUUCCCACAGUAAUGGCAUCUCCAUCUUUGGUGUUUCU
RNAcentral lists this long non-coding RNA (220 nucleotides) under Lathyrus oleraceus (garden pea). RNAcentral describes it as "Pisum sativum (pea) long non-coding RNA (PSAT_LNC025009)". Lineage: Eukaryota; Viridiplantae; Streptophyta; Magnoliopsida; Fabales; Fabaceae. The record is from RNAcentral.